This 253-nucleotide ribosomal RNA is filed under the name uncultured bacterium. RNAcentral describes it as "partial 16S ribosomal RNA". It matches the Rfam family "Bacterial small subunit ribosomal RNA", at positions 524 to 776 of the family's 1533-position model. The record is from RNAcentral.
GACAGAGGUGCCAAGCGUUAGGCGGAAUCACUGGGCUUAAAGCGUGUGUAGGCGGACUUGUAAGUACCUUGUGAAAUCCCACGGCUCAACCGUGGAACUGCUCGGUAUACUGCUUGUCUUGAGCCACUUAGGGGCUGUCGGAACAAACGGUGGAGCGGUGAAAUGCGUAGAUAUCAGGAGGAACACCGGUGGCGAAGGCGGGUCUCUGGGCCGAUACUGACGCUGAGGAGCGAAAGCGUGGGGAGCAAACAGG